Molecule: ribosomal RNA, 468 nt
Filed under: uncultured bacterium
Lineage: Bacteria
Description: partial 16S ribosomal RNA
Rfam family: Bacterial small subunit ribosomal RNA
Source: RNAcentral
GACGAACGCUGGCGGCGUGCUUAAUACAUGCAAGUCGAGCGGACAGGCGCGGCUUUUGUGGGGUUCUCGAUUGCCGAACGCGUGAGUAACACGUGAGGAACCCGCCCUUGUCUUUCUGAUAUCUUCAGGAAACUCCGGCUCAUACCGCGUAGGAGCUCCUGCUGCGUGGUGGUGGUUGGAAAAUGUCGGCGGUUGUGGAUGGUCUCGCUGGUUAUCAGCUUGAUGGUGGAGUAGUGGCUUACCAAGGCUUUGACGGCUAGCCGGCCUGAGAGGGUGACCGGCCACAUUGGGACUGAGAUACGGCCCAGACGCCUACGGGAGGCAGCAGUGGGGAAUAUUGCACAAUGGGCGGAAGCCAGAUGCAGAAACGCUGCGUGCGGGAUGACGGCCUUCUGGUUGUAAACAGCUUUGGAAUGUGCCGAAGAGUGCGUGACGGUAAUGGGUAAAGAAGCACCGGCUAACUACGUG